AGGGGUAUAGCUCAGUGGUAGAGCACAUGCUUAGUAUGCAUGAAGCCCUGGGUUUGAUCCCCAGUACUAAAA
RNAcentral lists this transfer RNA (72 nucleotides) under Marmota monax (woodchuck). RNAcentral's name for it is "tRNA.Thr". The stretch from base 5 to 67 matches the Rfam family "tRNA", at positions 5 to 66 of the family's 71-position model. Rfam says of the family: Transfer RNA (tRNA) molecules are approximately 80 nucleotides in length. Their secondary structure includes four short double-helical elements and three loops (D, anti-codon, and T loops). The record is from RNAcentral. Lineage: Eukaryota; Metazoa; Chordata; Mammalia; Rodentia; Sciuridae.